RNAcentral lists this ribosomal RNA (245 nucleotides) under uncultured bacterium. RNAcentral's name for it is "partial 16S ribosomal RNA". It matches the Rfam family "Bacterial small subunit ribosomal RNA", at positions 524 to 768 of the family's 1533-position model. The record is from RNAcentral.
GACAGAGGUGGCAAGCGUUGUUCGGAAUUACUGGGCUUAAAGGGCGCGUAGGCGGCAGUGUAAGUCUAAUGUGGAAUCUUGGGGCUUAACCCCAAAACUGCAAUGGAAACUGCAUUGCUUGAGUCAGUAAGGGGAGGGCGGAAUUCCCAGUGUAGCAGUGAAAUGCGUAGAUAUUGGGAGGAAGGCCGGUGGCGAAGGCGGCCCUCUGGUGCUUGACUGACGCUGAGGCGCGAAAGCGUGGGUAG